CAUUCAACAAACUUUUUAGGGGGUCUUAAA
RNAcentral lists this non-coding RNA (30 nucleotides) under Mus musculus (house mouse). The record is from RNAcentral. Lineage: Eukaryota; Metazoa; Chordata; Mammalia; Rodentia; Muridae.